GUAGGUUUUGCCAUAGCAUUGGUGAUCUCCUCCAUCCUACUAAUAACAUAUUGCUGCUGCCAUGAUCGUGGUCAGCAGAAUGAAUACGUUCCAACAGCAGCCCGGGACUGAGAAAAAGCAGCAGGUGAAACAGUCCAGGAUAACUGAUCAGAUGGGUUCACAUUCCAGGAUGGCCCUGUGCUGAAUUGUCUUGAACUUUGAUAAAGACGUUUUAUUCUUAAUAUACUUAAAAAAUACAAAUAAUUUUUAAAAAUUAAAUUAAAUAAAAAAUUACCUUAAUAUAACCAAAUGCUAGGAAUGUAAGCUUUUAAAGCUCAUGUAUGACGUAGACAUCUGUGUUAACAUUAACUUUUACACUCUGUUAUCUGGUGAUUUGCUUUCUCUGUAUACUUUUUGCUUUGUGUAAGUAAUCUGAGACAAACCUCAUGUAAUCUCUUUAUUUACACUAGUUUAAAAUUAAAAUAAAAUAAAUAAAUAAGCAGACUCCUCUGUUAAUUAAGUUUAAUUAUUUUAUUAAUUUGUCUCUGUUAAACCGAGUCAAUACUUUGAGACUUGUUCUGUAUUGUAGGGGAUUAAUUUUAAAACAUAUUCAUUUAAAACUUAUUAAAGCUAAUAAACGGUGAUUUUUGGUGAUUUUAUAAGGUUAAUGUAUUGAAAAGAUGGAUUGUUAAUUGGAACUAAACGAGAACUUGUUGAAUAUCUGUACCAUACUUUAAUAGCUCCUCAAUAAAAUUCUACUGUUUGUUCUUUA
Long non-coding RNA from Clarias gariepinus (North African catfish), 751 nucleotides. RefSeq lists it as uncharacterized. The transcript is spliced from 2 exons. Lineage: Eukaryota; Metazoa; Chordata; Actinopteri; Siluriformes; Clariidae. The record is from RefSeq and is a predicted model, not a curated record.